CCAAUAGCGUAUAUUAAAGUUGUUGCAGUUAAAAAGCUCGUAGUUGAAUUUCGGGGUCAGUAGGUUGGUCGUGCCACCGGUACGUACUGGUCUCACUGAUUCCUCCUUCCUGAUGAGCUGUAAUGCCAUUAAUUUGGUGUUGCAGGGAAUCUGGACUGUUACUUUGAAAAAAUUAGAGUGUUUAAAGCAAGCUAACGCUUGAAUACAUUAGCAUGGAAUAAUGAAAUAGGACGUUCGAUCCUAUUUUGUUGGUUUCUAGGAUUGACGUAAUGAUUAAUAGGGAUAGUUGGGGGCAUUAGUAUUCAAUUGUCAGAGGUGAAAUUCUUGGAUUUAUUGAAGACUAACUACUGCGAAAGCAUUUGCCAAGGAUGUUUUCAUUAAUCAAGAACGAAAGUUAGGGGAUCGAAGACGAUCAGAUACCGUCGUAGUCUUAACCAUAAACUAUGCCGACUAGGGAUCGGAUGAUGUUAAUUUUUUAAUGACUCAUUCGGCGCCUUACG
This 500-nucleotide ribosomal RNA is filed under the name uncultured Glomeromycotina. Its description in RNAcentral is "partial small subunit ribosomal RNA". It matches the Rfam family "Eukaryotic small subunit ribosomal RNA", at positions 591 to 1092 of the family's 1831-position model. The record is from RNAcentral. Lineage: Eukaryota; Fungi; Glomeromycota.